This 46-nucleotide small RNA is filed under the name Neochlamydia sp. AcF65. The record is from RNAcentral. Lineage: Bacteria; Pseudomonadati; Chlamydiota; Chlamydiia; Parachlamydiales; Parachlamydiaceae.
GUUACCUCUUACAAGAAAGAAUACAAUCUUUUAGAGCAGGGGGAAC